UACGUAGGGUGCGAGCGUUAAUCGGAAUUACUGGGCGUAAAGCGUGCGCAGGCGGUUGUGCAAGACAGGUGUGAAAUCCCCGGGCUUAACCUGGGAACUGCACUUGUGACUGCACGACUUGAGUACGGCAGAGGGGGAUGGAAUUCCGCGUGUAGCAGUGAAAUGCGUAGAUAUGCGGAGGAACACCGGUGGCGAAGGCGGCAUCCUGGACCAAUAUUGACGCUGAGGAGCGAAAGCCAGGGGAGCAAACGGG
This 253-nucleotide ribosomal RNA is filed under the name uncultured bacterium. Its description in RNAcentral is "partial 16S ribosomal RNA". It matches the Rfam family "Bacterial small subunit ribosomal RNA", at positions 524 to 776 of the family's 1533-position model. The record is from RNAcentral.